AGAGUUUGAUUCUGGCUCAGGAUGAACGCUAGCGACAGGCUUAACACAUGCAAGUCGAGGGGCAGCGGGGGAGUAGCAAUACUCCCGCCGGCGACCGGCGCACGGGUGAGUAACACGUAUGAAACCUGCCCGUAGCAGGGGGAUAAGCGGAAGAAAUUCCGUCUAAUACCGCGUAACAACCCGAGGAGGCAUCUCCUCGGGUUUAAAGGGAGCGAUUCCGGCUACGGAUGGUCAUGCGUCGCAUUAGCUUGUUGGCGGGGUAACGGCCCACCAAGGCGACGAUGCGUAGGGGUUCUGAGAGGAAGGUCCCCCACACUGGUACUGAGACACGGACCAGACUCCUACGGGAGGCAGCAGUGAGGAAUAUUGGUCAAUGGCCGCAGGGCUGAACCAGCCAAGUCGCGUGAGGGAUGACGGUCCUAUGGAUUGUAAACCUCUUUUGUCAGGGAGCAAAGGGCGCCACGUGUGGCGUUUUGCGAGUACCUGAAGAAAAAGCAUCGGCUAACUCCGUGCCAGCAGCCGCGGUAAUACGGAGGAUGCGAGCGUUAUCCGGAUUUAUUGGGU
Molecule: ribosomal RNA, 564 nt
Filed under: uncultured bacterium
Lineage: Bacteria
Description: bacterial SSU rRNA
Rfam family: Bacterial small subunit ribosomal RNA
Source: RNAcentral